Microplitis mediator is the source of this 2496-nucleotide RNA transcript. It is a transcript of the gene named sialidase-like, with no coding region annotated. NCBI's taxonomy places the organism in Eukaryota, Metazoa, Arthropoda, Insecta, Hymenoptera, Braconidae. The transcript has 6 exons. The record is from RefSeq and is a predicted model, not a curated record.
UUAGUCAUGUUUGUAAUUAAUGUUAAAGAUAUAUUAAAAUUUCGGUUGCUGUUAUCAUAUAUUGUUGUCAUUGGCAAAUAGAUAAGAAAGUUGGUGUUUACAUUAAUUAUUUCAUAGGAUCACUCACGUAUAACCUAACAUAAUUUAGCUUUAUAUAUUGUUAUACAUAUAAACAUAUUUGUAUGUAUUUCGUAUCUCAAAUUUUGAUGUGCACCCACAUAUUUAUAUGUCAUCUCUACCAAAUCGCUGUUUAGUCAAGGAACUACAGAAUGAUAGAGAAUUGAUACUACCUAUUUCUGCAAUUUUUGUAAGAGAUUCAAAUUCUGGAUUGCUGAAAGUAGCGUCAAAGUUAGAUAUUGAAUCAAAUGUACCUGUCUAUAUGCAAUCAGGAGAAAAUGUCGUUGAAAUCGAAAUGCUUCGAUAUGCAGAAAGUAAAAAGCUUUACUAAGUCUUCAAAGAUCUUCUGGUAAAAAAAGAAUUCGAGUGGUGAAAAGAUUAAGUCUAACACCUUAUCAGAUAAAGCCUCGAAACAAAACCAUUGCUAAUGAGACAAAAAAGAAAUUUUCUGCUAAUAAAAUUGAAAAGACUACAAAAUUUGUCAAGACAACAGAAAAGACGUUCCAAGAGAAAUCAAUGGCAUCAAGUGAUUAUAAUAUUAUUAAAAUAUUUAAUGUUAACAAAGAGAAUAAUAAUAUUUUGAGUAAUGAACGUACAAAAGUAAGCAUUAUUAUAAGAUAUACAAUUCUGAUUUUUCAGCUUUCCAGUGAUCGUUGAUAAAAGUUUCAUUUGCUGAAAAUGAUUAAAUUUAUACUACUUAGGAGGAGAAUUUUUCAAAUUUAUUUACAGAAGUAGCUGCGAAAUACUUCUAUUGAUUAAUUUAUUGAAUUUAUUGAUUACUAGGCUAGCCAAAAAAAUAAUUUUUAUGAUUACAGUAUGUAUCAAAAAAGACAAAACUUUCUAAUAGUUAGAACUUUUUGAAUACUUAGUCAUUAUUAUAAAAGGCAUCAAAUUUGGAGAACAAGAUCGAAAAUCGAUCUGGAAUCCAUACGAAUUGAUCAAACAGAAAUGGCCCUGUAUUUUAAAUACUGAGAUCAACGUAACGUUGGAAAAAAUGCAGUUGAUCGUGAAUUGACAUCAUCCGUCGAACACUCACGCAGAUCAAUUCUUGAAAAUACUCCAAGAACUUCACUAUCACCUGGAUCAAAGACAAAUUCAAUAUCUCUACAACACACACGCACAUCAGUUCAUGAAAGUACUCCAAAGACUCCACCAUCACCUGGUUCAAGGAUAAGCUUAUCAUCUCUACAACAUAUUCGCAAAUCAGUUCAUGAAAAUACUCCGAGAACUCCACUAUCAUCUAGAUCAAGGAUAAGCUUAUCAUCUCAACAUUCUCGCAGAUCAGUUCUUGAGAGUACUCCAAAAACUCCACCAUCACCUGGUUCAAGGAUAAGCUUAUCAUCUCUACAACAUAUUCGCAGAUCAGUUCAUGAAAAUACUCCAAGAACACCACUAUUAUCUGGAUCAAGGAUAAACUCAUCAUCUCAACAGCAUACUCGCAGAUCAGUUCAUGAAAAUACUCCAAGAACUCCACUAUCAUCUGGGUCAAGGAUAAACUCAUCAUCUCAACAGCAUACUCGCAGAUCAGUUCAUGAAAAUACUCCAAGAACUCCACUAUCAUCUGAAUCAAGGAUAAAUUCAUCAUCUCAACAGCAUACUCGCAGAUCAGUUCAUGUAAGUCGACCAUAUGCUUCAAGAUCACGACAAUCUGCACCACAACAUUUCAAUAAUGCUCGAAGCUCGUCAUCUGAAUCUGGAGAUUCCUCUAGUUCAAUUCAUUCUUCUCGGUCCUCAAGUCCCAGUAGUCCAAGUGAUUUCAAUGACAUAGUUAAUAUGUCGCAAUUACAACAUGGCUUGAAAUUAUUCCGAAAAAAAAUAGUCUCGGAUGUAAAAAAAGUUCUCCUCAAAAAUAAUCUUGGGCGGCCAUUAACUGACAAUAAUGGGAAAGUCGAAAUUGAAGGAAUUUCUUUAGAUGCCAAAAACUUUUUAAGAGCUUUGUCGGCAAAAAAAAUGAGUCUGCGUGCGAGAAGAUUGAUGCGAGCCUAUUGGACAGAAAAUGAACGCGAUAGACUGAUGACUCGAAAAAAUAAAAAAUUUCCUAAUGCUUUAAUUGUCAGCUCUCGAAAUUACAAUGAUUUCAUCAACCUUUGUUAUGCUCUACAAAGAACAAGAUUUUUAAAGCAUACGAAGAAACAUAACCCUGAACAUAAUAUUUAUCGAUGGGUCACAGACUUCCUUAAAAACGAUAAAUUUGCUCGAAAGAAGCAGAACAAGAACUCUGAAAUAUUUCCUAACGGGCAGCGAAGAGCGAAAUCUAUUUAAAAAUAAUUCUAAAUUAUUUUUAUUUUCUUUAUUAAUAUUAUCAAAAACUUUCUCAUUUUUAUUGCUUUUAAAAAAAUUUUAUAAAACAACUAAUUUAUAAUUUAAUAAAAAUUUCAA